UCAGUAACACGUAGUCAACAUGCCCAGGGGACGUGGAUAACCUCGGGAAACUGAGGAUAAACCGCGAUAGGUCACUACUUCUGGAAUGGGUAAUGACCCAAACCUAUAUGGCCCCUGGAUUGGACUGCGGCCGAUCAGGCUGUUGGUGAGGUAAUGGCCCACCAAACCUGUAACCGGUACGGGCUCUGAGAAGGAGGAGGGCCCGGAGAUUGGGGCACUGGAGAACAAGGGCCCAGGGCCCCUAAUUGGGGCGCAGCAGGCGCGAAACCUCUGCAAUAGGCGAAAGCUUGACAGGGUUACUCUGCAGUGAUUUCCGUUAAGGAGAUCUUUUGGCACCUCUAAAAAUGGUGCAGACAUAAGGGGUGGGCAA
This 370-nucleotide ribosomal RNA is filed under the name unidentified archaeon. RNAcentral's name for it is "bacterial SSU rRNA". It matches the Rfam family "Archaeal small subunit ribosomal RNA", at positions 90 to 449 of the family's 1478-position model. The record is from RNAcentral.